This 492-nucleotide ribosomal RNA is filed under the name uncultured bacterium. RNAcentral's name for it is "partial 16S ribosomal RNA". It matches the Rfam family "Bacterial small subunit ribosomal RNA", at positions 29 to 507 of the family's 1533-position model. The record is from RNAcentral.
AGUGAACGCUGGCGGUAGGCCUAACACAUGCAAGUCGAACGGCAGCACAGUAAGAGCUUGCUCUUACGGGUGGCGAGUGGCGGACGGGUGAGGAAUACAUCGGAAUCUACUUUUUCGUGGGGGAUAACGUAGGGAAACUUACGCUAAUACCGCAUACGACCUACGGGUGAAAGCAGGGGAUCUUCGGACCUUGCGCGAUUGAAUGAGCCGAUGUCGGAUUAGCUAGUUGGCGGGGUAAAGGCCCACCAAGGCGACGAUCCGUAGCUGGUCUGAGAGGAUGAUCAGCCACACUGGAACUGAGACACGGUCCAGACUCCUACGGGAGGCAGCAGUGGGGAAUAUUGGACAAUGGGCGAAAGCCUGAUCCAGCCAUACCGCGUGGGUGAAGAAGGCCUUCGGGUUGUAAAGCCCUUUUGUUGGGAAAGAAAAGCAGCAGGUUAAUACCCCGCUGUUCUGACGGUACCCAAAGAAUAAGCAACGGCUAACUUCGUG